This 538-nucleotide ribosomal RNA is filed under the name uncultured archaeon. Its description in RNAcentral is "bacterial SSU rRNA". It matches the Rfam family "Archaeal small subunit ribosomal RNA", at positions 339 to 875 of the family's 1478-position model. The record is from RNAcentral.
UCGCGAAAACUUUGCAAUAAGCGAAAGCUUGACAGGGCUAUCCCGAGUGCCAUCCGCUGAGGAAGGCUUUUACCCAGUAUAGCAAGCUGGGGGGAAUAAGGAGAGGGCAAGUCUGGUGUCAGCCGCCGCGGUAAUACCAGCUCUCCGAGUGGUGUGGAUGUUUAUUGGGCCUAAAGCAUCCGUAGCUGGCCAAGUUAGUCCCCCUGUUAAAUCCACCGAAUUAAUCGUUGGUGUGCGGGGGAUACUGCUCGGCUAGGGGACGAGAGAGGCAGACGGUAUUUUCGGGGGUAGGGGUGAAAUCCUAUAAUCCCGGGAAGACCACCAGUGGCGAAGGCUGUCUGCUAGAACGCGCCCGACGGUGAGGGAUGAAAGCUGGGGGAGCGAACCGGAUUAGAUACCCGGGUAGUCCCAGCUGUAAACGAUGCAGGCUAGGUGUUUGAACGGCCACGUGCCGUUCUAGUGCCGCAGGGAAGCUGUUAAGCCUGCCGCCUGGGGGAGUACGAUCGCAAGAUUGAAACUUAAAGGAAUUGGGCGGGGG